This 511-nucleotide ribosomal RNA is filed under the name uncultured bacterium. RNAcentral describes it as "partial 16S ribosomal RNA". It matches the Rfam family "Bacterial small subunit ribosomal RNA", at positions 29 to 523 of the family's 1533-position model. The record is from RNAcentral.
AACGAACGCUGGCGGCGUGCCUAACACAUGCAAGUCGAGCGAAUCAGUGGGAGCUUGCUCCCUGAGAUUAGCGGCGGACGGGUGAGUAACAAGUGGGUAUCCUGCCUGUAAGACUGGGAUAACCUGGGGCAACAGGACCUAAUACCGGAUCAGGUCUUUUCUCGCAUGAGGAGAGAUGGAAAGAAGCUUCUGAGAUCCCUUAAGGAUGGACCCGCUGCGAAUUAGCUACUUGGUGAGGUAACGGCUCACCAAGGCGACGAUGCGUAGCCGACCUGAGAGGGUGAUCGGCCACACUGGGACUGAAACACGGCCCGGACUCCCACGGGAGGCAGCAGUAGGGAAUCUUCCGCAAUGGACGAAAGUCUGACGGAGCAACGCCGGGUGAGCGAAGAAGGCCUUCGGGUCGUAAAGCCCUGUUGUUAGGGAAGAACAAUUACGAGAGUAACUGCUCGUACCUUGACGGUACCUAACCAGAAAGCCACGGCUAACUACGUGCCAGCAGCCGCAGUAA